RNAcentral lists this unclassified non-coding RNA (305 nucleotides) under plant metagenome. Its description in RNAcentral is "partial contains 5.8S ribosomal RNA, internal transcribed spacer 2, and large subunit ribosomal RNA". The stretch from base 1 to 105 matches the Rfam family "5.8S ribosomal RNA", at positions 50 to 154 of the family's 154-position model. The record is from RNAcentral.
GAAAUGCGAUAAGUAGUGUGAAUUGCAGAAUUCAGUGAAUCAUCGAAUCUCUGAACGCACAUUGCGCCCUUUGGUAUUCCUUAGGGCAUGCCUGUUCGAGCGUCAUCUAAACCUUCAAGCCCUGCUUGGUGUUGGGUGCCUGUCCCGCCUCCGCGCGCGGACUCACCUCAAAUCCAUUGGCGGCCCCCGCGUCGGCCACGAGCGCAGCAGAAACGCGAACUCGUGAGCCCGUCCGGGCGGCUCCCAGAAGCUACACCCACCCAGUUUGACCUCGGAUCAGGUAGGGAUACCCGCUGAACUUAAGC